AGUGAACGCUGGCGGUAGGCCUAACACAUGCAAGUCGAACGGCAGCACAGUAAGAGCUUGCUCUUACGGGUGGCGAGUGGCGGACGGGUGAGGAAUACAUCGGAAUCUACUUUUUCGUGGGGGAUAACGUAGGGAAACUUACGCUAAUACCGCAUACGACCUACGGGUGAAAGCAGAGGAUCUUCGGACCUUGCGCGAUUGAAUGAGCCGAUGUCGGAUUAGCUAGUUGGCGGGGUAAAGGCCCACCAAGGCGACGAUCCGUAGCUGGUCUGAGAGGAUGAUCAGCCACACUAGAACUGAGACACGGUCCAGACUCCUACGGGAGGCGGCAGUGGGGAAUAUUGGACAAUGGGCGCAAGCCUGAUCCAGCCAUACCGCGUGGGUGAAGAAGGCCUUCGGGUUGUAAAGCCCUUUUGUUGGGAAAGAAAAGCAGCAGGUUAAUACCCCGCUGUUCUGACGGUACCCAAAGAAUAAGCACCGGCUAACUUCGUG
RNAcentral lists this ribosomal RNA (492 nucleotides) under uncultured bacterium. RNAcentral's name for it is "partial 16S ribosomal RNA". It matches the Rfam family "Bacterial small subunit ribosomal RNA", at positions 29 to 507 of the family's 1533-position model. The record is from RNAcentral.